CGAGAGGACCGGGAUGGACAUACCUCUGGUGUACCAGUUGUUCUGCCAAGAGCACCGCUGGGUAGCUACGUAUGGAUUAGAUAAUCGCUGAAAGCAUCUAAGUGAGAAACUAACCUCGAGAUGAGAUUUCCCAUUCGUCAGAAGUAAGACCCCUGAGAGACGAUCAGGUAGAUAGGCUAGAAGUGGAAGUGUAGUGAUGCAUGGAGCGGACUAGUACUAAUAGGUCGAGGACUUAACCAAG
This 241-nucleotide ribosomal RNA is filed under the name Oenococcus oeni. RNAcentral describes it as "partial 23S ribosomal RNA". It matches the Rfam family "Bacterial large subunit ribosomal RNA", at positions 2684 to 2925 of the family's 2925-position model. Lineage: Bacteria; Bacillati; Bacillota; Bacilli; Lactobacillales; Lactobacillaceae. The record is from RNAcentral.